UUCGUUGAGAGACGGAUAUCUCGCCUGUGCCAUAAGUGUCGUAAGUUGGCGAAUGCCGAUCGGGCCUUCUGAAUCCGUGCUGAGAUUUUGUCCGACACC
Molecule: microRNA precursor, 99 nt
Filed under: Schistosoma japonicum
Lineage: Eukaryota; Metazoa; Platyhelminthes; Trematoda; Strigeidida; Schistosomatidae
Description: microRNA sja-mir-3499 precursor
Source: miRBase by way of RNAcentral